CAGUCGUACUUACGGGUAAUCAGCCUUUUGGGUGUGAUUUUGUGGAGCGUGAGGAGUUAAACGCCUUCAUGCCUGCAUAUUCGUGCACUUUGGGUGUACUUGCCCGUGUGUAAGCUGACAUCAAUUUUGGUGGUCAUAAAAUGAUUGGAGGAAUGUAGCUUUGAUCUCGUAUCGAAGUGUUAUAGACUCUGGUAGAUGUGACGGUUGGGGAUUGAGGAUUGGCAACGGAUACCCCUUCGGGGGGCCUACCCGUCUGAUCUCUGAAGGUUGCUCCGGUGCCGAAAGCGUGCUUACGGUCAUCGAAAGUGAUUUUACAAAAGGUUAGAACGGUUAAAUUCGUUAAGGAUGUUGACGU
Molecule: ribosomal RNA, 355 nt
Filed under: Rhizophagus irregularis
Lineage: Eukaryota; Fungi; Glomeromycota; Glomeromycetes; Glomerales; Glomeraceae
Source: RNAcentral